UCUAAUUUCUCCGAAGUUAAAGUUAAACGUUGAACGCAAGUAGGAGAAAUAAAAUAAUGGGUAGAACCGGUAUCAAAUAAGGUAUAGACUUCGCUAGAGUUUAUGAUUAGCUUACCCGUGAUGACUUCGUUCGGGUUCUUUGCUUUUUGGGAGGUCACGACAAACGCUCUCCCUUGAACUAUCGACUUUGACUUCUCUAGGACGACCUUUGGUGCCUCCAUCCCAGCUGGACUUGACUUCACUUCAUGAUAAAAUCGGACUAGGUGACCUUCUUUUCCACAAUUAUAACACGCUUUGGAUUGAUGC
This 306-nucleotide long non-coding RNA is filed under the name Panax ginseng (ginseng). RNAcentral describes it as "long non-coding RNA (PGIN_LNC013467)". The record is from RNAcentral. Lineage: Eukaryota; Viridiplantae; Streptophyta; Magnoliopsida; Apiales; Araliaceae.